UAUGACCUACGGGAGGCAGCAGUGGGGAAUAUUGCACAAUGGGGGAAACCCUGAUGCAGCGACGCCGCGUGAGUGAAGAAGUAUCUCGGUACGUAAAGCUCUAUCAGCAGGGAAGAAAAUGACGGUACCUGACUAAGAAGCCCCGGCUAACUACGUGCCAGCAGCCGCGGUAAUACGUAGGGGGCAAGCGUUAUCCGGAAUCACUGGGUGUAAAGGGAGCGUAGACGGCUGUGCAAGCCUGAAGUGAAAGGCGGGGGCCCAACCCCCGGACUGCUUUGGGAACUGUACGGCUGGAGUGCAGGAGG
This 305-nucleotide ribosomal RNA is filed under the name uncultured bacterium. RNAcentral describes it as "bacterial SSU rRNA". It matches the Rfam family "Bacterial small subunit ribosomal RNA", at positions 333 to 655 of the family's 1533-position model. The record is from RNAcentral.